AGAGUUUGAUCCUGGCUCAGGAUGAACGCUAGCGGCAGGCUAAUACAUGCAAGUCGAGGGGUAACAGGGGAGCUUGCUCCUGCUGACGACCGGCAAACGGGUGAGGAACACGUACACAACCUUCCUUCUAGUGGAGGAUAGCCCAGGGAAACUUGGAUUAAUACUCCGUAAGAUGUUAGGGAGGCAUCUCCCAGACAUUAUAGUAGCGAUACGCUAGAAGACGGGUGUGCGUCUGAUUAGGUAGUUGGCGGGGUAACGGCCCACCAAGCCGACGAUCAGUAACUGGUGUGAGAGCACGACCAGUCACACGGGCACUGAGACACGGGCCCGACUCCUACGGGAGGCAGCAGUAAGGAAUAUUGGUCAAUGGACGAAAGUCUGAACCAGCCAUGCCGCGUGAAGGAUGAAGGUCCUCUGGAUUGUAAACUUCUUUUAUAUGGGACGAAAAAAGGGUUUUCUAACUCUACUGACGGUACCAUAUGAAUAAGCACCGGCUAACUCCGUGCCAGCAGCCGCGGUAAUACGGAGGGUGCAAGCGUUAUCCGGAUUUACUGGGUUUAAAGGGAGCGUAGGUGGGCUGUUAAGUCAGUGGUGAAAUCCCGGGGCUCAACCUCGGAACUGCCGUUGAUACUAUCAGUCUUGAAUAUUGUGGAGGCUAGCGGAAUAUGUCAUGUAGCGGUGAAAUGCUUAGAUAUGACAUAGAACACCGAUUGCGAAGGCAGCUGGCUACGCAUAUAUUGACACUGAGGCUCGAAAGCGUGGGUAGCAAACAGGAUUAGAUACCCUGGUAGUCCACGCCCUAAACGAUGGAUACUCGACAUUAGCGAUAUACUGUUAGUGUCUGAGCGAAAGCAUUAAGUAUCCCACCUGGGAAGUACGAUCGCAAGAUUGAAACUCAAAUGAAUUGACGG
Molecule: ribosomal RNA, 911 nt
Filed under: uncultured bacterium
Lineage: Bacteria
Description: bacterial SSU rRNA
Rfam family: Bacterial small subunit ribosomal RNA
Source: RNAcentral